AACGCGUGGGAAUAUGCCCUUUGGUACGGAACAGUCCCGGGAAACUGGGUUUAAUACCGUAUGUGGUCCUUCGUAGUGGAUACGGGGGACGAAAGAUUUAUCGCCAAAGGAUUAGCCCGCGUUGGAUUAGGUAGUUGGUGGGGUAACGGCCUACCAAGCCGACGAUCCAUAGCUGGUUUGAGAGGAUGAUCAGCCACACUGGGACUGAGACACGGCCCAGACUCCUACGGGAGGCAGCAGUGGGGAAUCUUAGACAAUGGGGGCAACCCUGAUCUAGCCAUGCCGCGUGAGUGAUGAAGGCCUUAGGGUUGUAAAGCUCUUUCAGCUGGGAAGAUAAUGACGGUACCAGCAGAAGAAGCCCCGGCUAACUCCGUGCCAGCAGCCGCGGUAAUACGGAGGGGGCUAGCGUUGUUCGGAAUUACUGGGCGUAAAGCGCAUGUAGGCGGACCAGAAAGUUGGGGGUGAAAUCCCGGGGCUCAACCCCGGAACGGCCUUCAAAACUAUUGGUCUGGAGUUCGAGAGAGGUGAGUGGAAUUCCGAGUGUAGAGGUGAAAUUCGUAGAUAUUCGGAGGAACACCAGUGGCGAAGGCGGCUCACUGG
RNAcentral lists this ribosomal RNA (600 nucleotides) under Paracoccus oceanense. RNAcentral describes it as "bacterial SSU rRNA". It matches the Rfam family "Bacterial small subunit ribosomal RNA", at positions 112 to 732 of the family's 1533-position model. The record is from RNAcentral. Lineage: Bacteria; Pseudomonadati; Pseudomonadota; Alphaproteobacteria; Rhodobacterales; Paracoccaceae.